This is a non-coding RNA of Pelobates cultripes (western spadefoot toad), 562 nucleotides long. The record is from the annotation of a GenBank genome assembly. Lineage: Eukaryota; Metazoa; Chordata; Amphibia; Anura; Pelobatidae.
AUUGGGAAACACUUCUUGAUUAGUUUGAAAAGGCCACUUACAUAUUAAAUCAUAAGAUCAUUUCUAAUCAGUUUGCAAUUCUAGCAAUAAUCCCAAUCAUGACCUUGCGUCCUAUGCCUCCUAAUCAAAUCCCUAUUUCGAUAGUCCAGUCAUAUCCACACUUAAUACAUUGGAAUCCAUCCUUGGUACACUCAACAUACAUCAAUGACACACAUAGUACAUCCAUGCCUGAGUAAGCUAACACUUCCUCUCUCUCCGGCUAACUCUACAAAAAUAAAAAUAAAAAUAACAAAAUAGUUCAAUAGUCCAGCAUAGUCCAGAAAAAUAUUAUAAGUCUUUCAAGGAGUAUAAAGAAUCUUAGACACCAUAAACUUUGUUCCAUAAUCUUAGACACCAUAACAUAGCUAAGGGUAGCAAUAUGGCUGACAACAAGACAAUGUCAGCUUCCACAUAGUUCUUAAUUCUUCUGUUUGCUGGAUGUUCACCACAAUACUCUGUGCAACACCCCAAUUGUUGAAAGGGUAAUACAGAAAUAGCGGCAUUGGACAGCACUGCAUCUUCA